RNAcentral lists this transfer RNA (72 nucleotides) under Capra hircus (goat). It matches the Rfam family "tRNA". From Rfam's summary of the family: Transfer RNA (tRNA) molecules are approximately 80 nucleotides in length. Their secondary structure includes four short double-helical elements and three loops (D, anti-codon, and T loops). RNAcentral also lists the same sequence under 1 other name. Lineage: Eukaryota; Metazoa; Chordata; Mammalia; Artiodactyla; Bovidae. The record is from Rfam by way of RNAcentral.
UCCCUGGUGGCUCAGAGGGUAAAGUAUCUUCCUGUGAUGUAGAAGACCCAGGUUCGAUCCCUGGGUCGGGAA